Molecule: RNA transcript, 2355 nt
Organism: Osmia bicornis bicornis
Lineage: Eukaryota; Metazoa; Arthropoda; Insecta; Hymenoptera; Megachilidae
Gene name: farnesol dehydrogenase-like
Exons: 6
Source: RefSeq, a predicted model, not a curated record
UCGUGGUGGCGCGCGAGCGAGAAUAAUAUUCCGGGUCCCAGGACCGGACCCGGCACCAGCUGCCAACCUCUCAAGAUCGAUACACGCCGUUGUUAUUGCGUCCGGAAAGCGAAUAUCGUUUAUCCGCAAAGGAAUAAACUCUCCGAUUUCAGGAUCUCUGCUGUGAAUCAACCUUAGAUAGUUCCGUGUUAUCCUCAAAAAGGAGUAAAUGCACUCGCGAACAGGAUGCUCAACGACGUAAUAUGAAGAUAUAUUUUGGUCCAUCAUCAAAGUACAAACGUCUCGAGCGAGACAGAAUGUGGCGUUCUGAAUCUGAGCCUCGGAUCCGGUAGCGUCACGAAACAGGACAAAGAUCCUUCGGCUUACGUUUAUCCGUUUACCCGGUGACUCUAUCCACCUAGUUUUGCCGCAGCUUUUACUUGUUUUAAGAAAAGCACGACGUGACCUGCCGCAAUCCUCUCUCGCGUAUCCCAGUCACAUAGGCUCCUGCGUACCGACUGCGGACCAAUCUCUUCUCGGAGACGGCUGCUCGGAAUAUUCUGCGAGACGAUUUUCAGAUACGUAUUACACCCUCCGGGAAGAUCCUCUCGACGUGCCUCGAGAAUUUCUCCAUCCAUUUUUACUUACUGCAACCAGACCAAAGUCUGAUCACAGAUGGGUAUCUUGCCUUUAACUCCUUCAGAUUACUUCGAACUAGACGCGAGCAUUCAUUUGCAAGAUACACGUGGUCCGUUAUCGAUUGUAUUGGAUUGACAAUAUAGGGCGCACACUACGCAUCAUCGAUUUCGAGUGUGUUAACAUGUCAAUUGUCGUAUCAGUUAAUUCAGAUCGCAGCCGAUUAUUGUUAUCGUAGAUACUCCAACUUUGAUAAGAGUACGCGUUCCGCAAUCUGUCAAUUACCUCGAAAGCGCUUAUCGAUUACAAUAAAGAAAAGUUUUGACAUGCUAGUAUUCCAUUCCCCACCGAGUACCUCAAUUUAACGCGCAAUUGAUGACACGUGAUUACAUAAUUUAGCAUUGACUCAUGUGGCUCGUUUCCCCUGGUAUGCAGUACGUCGUUGCAGCUUGCAGUUCGUGAAUAAUAUAGCCUUUCUGCGUUUGAAAAAAUAUCGCACGACGUAGAUCGAACGCAAUUAAAGACGCGCUUCGAUUAAUUGAUCGUGACGUAAGCUUCGAAUUGGUGAUAAAAUAAUUUUGAAAUCAGGCGAUAAACGACAGAGAAUUAUGGAACGGUGGGCUGGUAAAAAUGCGGUUGUUACCGGUGCUGCAUCCGGUAUCGGGGAAGCAAUUACAGCUGCUCUGUUGAAGAACAAAGGGAACGUGGUGGCUUUGGACAUACGAUUCGAGGAAUUGCUCCUCGCUGCUCGUAAAUGGGAACAAAUCAAACACCGUGGAAACAUUCGAUGUAUGUACUGCGAUGUAAGCGAGCCGACCAAUUUGGAGGAGGUUUUCUCCACCAUAGAAAGGGAAUGGAAAGGAGUGGAUAUUAUGGUAAACAAUGCGGGGAUAGUCGACUACACGCGCGUUAUUGAGAGCGACAGGGAGACGUUUCAAAGGCUGUUAAAUAUUAAUGUCCUCGCGACCUCCAUGUGCAUCAAUUGGGCGGUGCGCUCGAUGCGCCAGCGGAACGUCGAAGGGCAUAUUUUCAAUAUCAACAGCGUGCUGGGACACGAAAUUCCGAGCGGAUCCCUUUCGGAAAUCGAUGGCUGUAAUGGCUGGAACCUGUACCCGACUUGCAAACACGGAACUGUUGCAUUAACGCAUACGGUGCGGCGGGAAUUGGCGGCCAUUAAAGCACCGAUUCGAAUCACCAGUAUCUCUCCUGGCAUAGUGGACACCGGUAUAGCCAAACAUGUUUCUCAAUUAACGGAUGUUCUGAAAAAAAUUCCCGCACUUCGACCAGAAGACGUCGCGGAUGCACUGAUUUAUGCCCUCGGUUCUCGACCUGAAGUACAAGUACGGACCGACGGUAGCAUCGAACCGGAAAGAAAACGGAUUUCCAUUGGCUCGACCUAAAUUCAGAAUGCAGAAGGCUACCAGUUCCUGGAAACUUAGAAACAGUGUAUCGUCCAAAGGUCGGUGGUUUAUGAUAUUACUUGGCAAGUUUCAGAGUUAAACGUUUCAAACUCUGUACGUUUCAUGUAAGCAACAAACACAAUCGAGACGGUGCGCUGGUGGAAAUGUCAGCCGGUAAGAAAUGCACGCAGCUGCACGUAACAGGAGGCUUUUUCAUCGAUUACGAACAAGAAGCGGCGUAACUGUCUGCCGAUCGUCAAUGAGUGGCAAAGAAUCGACUAGAGACAAUCAUUCUUUUUAAAGAAUGUGAUUUUAUUAGAAACGUUUCCAAAGAAUCGAU